RNAcentral lists this long non-coding RNA (257 nucleotides) under Elaeis guineensis (African oil palm). RNAcentral describes it as "long non-coding RNA (EGUI_LNC057426)". Lineage: Eukaryota; Viridiplantae; Streptophyta; Magnoliopsida; Arecales; Arecaceae. The record is from RNAcentral.
CAUUGACGGCUGUAGGCUCGCUUGGGGUCCUUCGGGCCCGAAGUCCCCCUUAGGGCUUGAAUUUGGGGGUCCAGGCUUCCGUUGCCUUCGGGCACUGUUUGCUUUCCUUUUUGCUUGGGUUUCUUCUCUGUUGAAGUCGGAGCUAAGUCCGGCUCCCUUGGGAGUCCGAGCGGAGAAGUCCUCCUGAAGUUGGAGUAGCUUGGUUCUCGUAGGGGCCAGGGCAAAGCUUUCGUUUUCCUGCAACCAAAGUCCUAGGC